CAGUGUGACCAGGAAUGUGGUUGUCCGUGUGAGCAUCACCGUGACCAGGCUUGUGGUGCUUCGACGAGAAGUCCUGAUGACCAGGCUUGUGGUUGCUUGUCGAAACAUCCGCAGCUACAGUGGCAAAAGAUUGAGCGACGGCAUCACCGUGACCGGGCUUGUGGUUCUCCGUAUGAACUCCACCAGUGUGACCGGGCUUGUGGUUCUCCGUAGAAACUCCACCGGUGUGACCAGGCUUGUGGUUCUCAGUCGAAACUCCACCGGUGUGACCAGGUUUGUGGUUGUCAGUUGAAACUCCACCAGUGUGACCAGGCUUGUGGUUGUCAACGUGAACUUCUGGCUUGUGAUUGUUCGUUGACGCGUCCGAGUGACCGGGCUUGUGAUUUUUCGUUGACAUCUCUCCCGCUGUCCAAUACGGCGGUAUAGCUGCGUCAGGCUUGUGGUUCUCUGUGUGAAACCCACCGGUGUGCCCGG
RNAcentral lists this long non-coding RNA (474 nucleotides) under Selaginella moellendorffii. Its description in RNAcentral is "long non-coding RNA (SMOE_LNC001913)". The record is from RNAcentral. Lineage: Eukaryota; Viridiplantae; Streptophyta; Lycopodiopsida; Selaginellales; Selaginellaceae.